Molecule: unclassified non-coding RNA, 337 nt
Filed under: soil metagenome
Description: partial contains 5.8S ribosomal RNA, internal transcribed spacer 2, and large subunit ribosomal RNA
Rfam family: 5.8S ribosomal RNA (bases 1-120)
Source: RNAcentral
GAUGAAGAACGUAGCGAAAUGCGAUAAGUAAUGUGAAUUGCAGAAUUCAGUGAAUCAUCGAAUCUUUGAACGCACAUUGCGCCCCUUGGUAUUCCGGGGGGCAUGCCUGUUCGAGCGUCAUUUGUACCUUCAAGCUCUGCUUGGUGUUGGGUGUUUGUCUCGCCUCUGCGUGUAGACUCGCCUCAAAACAAUUGGCAGCCGGCGUAUUGAUUUCGGAGCGCAGUACAUCUCGCGCUUUGCACUCAUAACGACGACGUCCAAAAGUACAUUUUUACACUCUUGACCUCGGAUCAGGUAGGGAUACCCGCUGAACUUAAGCAUAUCAAUAAGCGGAGGA